Non-coding RNA from Danio rerio (zebrafish), 115 nucleotides. Lineage: Eukaryota; Metazoa; Chordata; Actinopteri; Cypriniformes; Danionidae. The record is from Rfam.
AAAGGCAGCUAGCUCUCUGCAACUCUCACAUGGUCGCCCACUGAAGCUAAGCAGGGCUGCGCCCGGUCAGUACCUGGAUGGGAGACCACUUGGGAAAGCUAGGUUGCUGCCGGAA